GGAUUCAACGCCGGAAAGUCUUACCGGGACCGACAGCAAUAUGAAGGCCAGGCUGAAGACUUUGCCGGAUUAGCUGAGAGGUGGUGCAUGGCCGUCGUCAGUUCGUACUGUGAAGCAUCCUGUUAAGUCAGGCAACGAGCGAGACCCACGCCCACAGUUGCCAGCGUACUCUCUGGAGUGACGGGGACACUGUUGGGACCGCCUCUGCUAAAGAGGAGGAAGGAAUGGGGCAACGGUAGGUCAGCAUGCCCCGAAUUAUCUGGGCUACACGCGGGCUACAAUGGGUGGGACAAUGGGUAUCGACACCGAAAGGUGAAGGCAAUCUCCUAAACCCAUCCGUAGUUCGGAUUGUGGGCUGCAACUCGCCCACAUGAAGCUGGAAUCUGUAGUAAUCGUGUCUCAAAAUGGCACGGUGAAUAUGUCCCUGCUCCUU
RNAcentral lists this ribosomal RNA (433 nucleotides) under uncultured Methanolinea sp. Its description in RNAcentral is "bacterial SSU rRNA". It matches the Rfam family "Archaeal small subunit ribosomal RNA", at positions 908 to 1338 of the family's 1478-position model. The record is from RNAcentral. Lineage: Archaea; Methanobacteriati; Methanobacteriota; Methanomicrobia; Methanomicrobiales; Methanoregulaceae.